This 916-nucleotide ribosomal RNA is filed under the name uncultured bacterium. RNAcentral's name for it is "bacterial SSU rRNA". It matches the Rfam family "Bacterial small subunit ribosomal RNA", at positions 246 to 1155 of the family's 1533-position model. The record is from RNAcentral.
UUGUUGGUAAGGUAAAAGCUUACCAAGGCUUCGAUCAGUAGCUGGUCUGAGAGGACGACCAGCCACACUGGGACUGAGACACGGCCCAGACUCCUACGGGAGGCAGCAGUGGGGAAUUUUGGACAAUGGGGGCAACCCUGAUCCAGCCAUGCCGCGUGAGUGAAGAAGGCCUUCGGGUUGUAAAGCUCUUUCAGCCGGAACGAAACGGUUACGGAUAACACCCGUGACUACUGACGGUACCGGAAGAAGAAGCACCGGCUAACUACGUGCCAGCAGCCGCGGUAAUACGUAGGGUGCGAGCGUUAAUCGGAGUUACUGGGCGUAAAGCGUGCGCAGGUGGUUUUGUAAGUCAGAUGUGAAAGCCCCGGGCUCAACCUGGGAACUGCGUUUGAAACUACAAGACUAGAGUGUGGCAGAGGGGGGUGGAAUUCCGCGUGUAGCAGUGAAAUGCGUAGAGAUGUGGAGGAACACCGAUGGCGAAGGCAGCCCCCUGGGUCAACACUGACGCUCAGGCACGAAAGCAUGGGGAGCAAACAGGAUUAGAUACCCUGGUAGUCCAUGCCCUAAACGAUGUCAACUAGUUGUCGGGCCUUUACGGGCUUGGUAACGUAGCUAACGCGUGAAGUUGACCGCCUGGGGAGUACGAUCGCAAGAUUAAAACUCAAAUGAAUUGACGGGGACCCGCACAAGCGGUGGAUUAUGUGGAUUAAUUCGAUGCAACGCGAAAAACCUUACCUACCCUUGACAUGUAUCGAAGCCCGCAGAAAAGCGGGGGUGCCCGAAAGGGAACGAUAACACAGGUGCUGCAUGGCUGUCGUCAGCUCGUGUCGUGAGAUGUUGGGUUAAGUCCCGCAACGAGCGCAACCCUUGUCAUUAAUUGCCAUCAUUUAGUUGGGCACUUUAAUGAGACUGCCGG